RNAcentral lists this long non-coding RNA (1996 nucleotides) under Mytilus galloprovincialis (Mediterranean mussel). The record is from RNAcentral. Lineage: Eukaryota; Metazoa; Mollusca; Bivalvia; Mytilida; Mytilidae.
UAUUAAUUCAAAGAUAAGGGUGUUAAAACAUUAUUAAAGUUUCUUAUAAAAUAUAAAUAUAAUUGUCCAAUGUUAUGUAAUAAUAAUAGGAUUAUUGUCCUCCGGCUUAACUUUAUAAAAUAGCGAUAAUUGCUUUUGUAGUUCAAGUAUUAGAUACAUGUAUUUAAUUUAUCUCGCACUUUUGACAGCCAUAGGAUUAAGUUGUAAAAUAGUAAAUCAACAUGUAUAAUUUCUUUGGAUAUUUGAAAUAAGAAACAUUAUAUUUAAGAAAAAGGGAACAUUGAAAACAAGAAAUAUUCAACUUAAAACUAAAAUGGGAAAUAAUCAAUGUUAAAACGAGAGUUCAUAUAAAUAUUCAAAUCAAAACGAAGGUUCAUAUAAAUAAUCAAAUCAAAACGAGAGUUCAUAUAAAGCACUUUGCGAAUUAAGGUAAAAGUUCCUAAAGUCACUUUUCUCCCAAUUAUAAAUACAACAGCAUAUAAUUGGUGAACAAGCACUGCAGUUUAUACAUGUUUAUUUCGAAAAUAACACAAUAUAAACUAAAUUUACAAAAAGAAAUAAGAACAUUUAAAUUCCAUUUACUUUAUUGAAGUAUCAAUGAACAACAAACUUUAAUUGCAGUAUGGAAGGAGGCUAUCGACAUACUAAAGGAUACUUUUAUGAAAAAGAAGAAAAGAGUUAGAAAAAGAGGACGGUUCGCUACAACAAAUACAGUUUCGUUCACAAAGUGGUUACCCGCUAACUUUCCUUUGGAAGGUGUCAUGUGUGGUUGUGGAAGAAACCUUAAAACGCCAAGAUCGCUUUUAGGCCACUUAGGAAGAAAAAGCUCGACCGCCCGAAAAAAUGUAAAAUUAUUUAAAAAGGGAAUAUAAUUAAAAACCAAUUACAUGCUUUUGGAGACAUUAGAUACCAUGCACAUUUACAAUGGCUGAACAUACAAAUGUAGUUUAAUAUCAAAGUGCAAAUAUAUUAAGAAUUUAUUAACAAGAUUAAUACUACAGAGGAUAUGUUUCAUUUUUGACACUAUUUCAAAGACGCUUUUUUUUAAAAGCAAACUUAAAUGUCAUGAAACAGUUAGAGAAUAAAAAGAUGAAAAUAAAAAUUGUUGCAUCAUGUUCUUUUAUUCUUAAAAUGAUAUCAUGAAAUCCGUACGUACAUUUGCAACUUAUCAUUGACAAUAAUAACAUACCAAAUUGCAAACACAACAGAUUAAAAUAAAAGAACAAUGAAGUGUUGAUCCUUCUGAAUUCACCUUUCUUUAUGUUUGAACAGAGUUCUGCAUUCUGCUUAAAAUACGGACUCUGUGUGUCCGAUAUGUUCAUACAAGGAUCUGAAAGCGCUCCAUUCUACUUUCUGUUGAAAUACCAUUCGGGGUCUUUGGCUUCUUUUUCAGAUUAUAAUUGUUGUUUUUGAGCAAUUGAUUUUGUAAUUUGAUAAGGGACGUUCCGUUAUGAAUUUUCCUUGGUGUUCGUUUUUUUUUUGUUGCUAUUUCACUUUUACACAUUUUCGAAAUUAGGAAAUAUGACAUUUCAUUUGCUUAUGUGAUAAAUACCAAAACAGAAAUAAAACAGAUUGUUGUCAUAUCCUGGUAAGCAAAUCAGGGACCAUAUUGCGUUUUUGUUAGGAAGUACAUGGGUUAAAUUCAGAUUUUAUUUCAGAAUAGAAACAUUCUGUCAUUCAUUGACUUUAAUUAUAGCGUUUGGUUUUUUCCCCCCAAUUUUUCAUAUUCCACCAUUACGAGGAAUCGGAUAACUUAUAAAACAAAUCAUGUUUUGAUUAAGAUAAAAGACGGUAAGCAAUCUGUUAUUAUGUGAUAUUGUAUAAUUGACAAUGAGAUACAGUCUCACCUAUAGACCAAAUGAGGUGAAAGCAAGCAACUUUAGGUCAUCUUUUUUUUUAAAGACGUACACAUUUUAUCCCUAAAUAUUUCCUGUAUACAAUUACCUUAGUCGUCCAGGAACAGGGCAAAAUGAACCAUUUAUCCAGAGGAAAUAGA